This 425-nucleotide long non-coding RNA is filed under the name Mytilus galloprovincialis (Mediterranean mussel). The record is from RNAcentral. Lineage: Eukaryota; Metazoa; Mollusca; Bivalvia; Mytilida; Mytilidae.
CUUAUAUUAUACGAUUUUAUUAAUCUAUGUAAAAUGCAACCAUAAAGGAUGGAGGGUUUUAAGUACUGGCGUAAAAUUGCGCGUAUGAAAUUCGCACAGGUAGAAAUGAAAUAAUUUUGUCGUUCAAAGUAUGACGGGAUACAUCAAUACAGUCACGUAAAAUAGAUAUAACAAUACAGACUUAACAAUAAAAGUAAUAAUAAUAAAUAAAUAAGUGUGGUUAAAAGUAUGACGGGAUACAUAAGUACAGAGUCACGUCAAAUGUAUAUCACAAAAAAACAGACGUAACAGUAACCCGAAUAAUUCAGUCCCUCCCCGUAAUCGAUCUCUCCUACUUGUAAUGUAGUAAGCGGAAUGUAACGACUGAAUUAUUCGGGUUAACAUAACAGUAAAGGUGGCACGGUAGUAUUUCCUGUCCCAUAAGG